Molecule: long non-coding RNA, 1583 nt
Organism: Oncorhynchus tshawytscha (Chinook salmon)
Lineage: Eukaryota; Metazoa; Chordata; Actinopteri; Salmoniformes; Salmonidae
Exons: 4
Source: RefSeq, a predicted model, not a curated record
AAGGCAGUCGGGAGGAGGCAAGAUCAGAGUGGACCAUUCUAUCCAAUGAGUGGGCAGAUGCAUGUGUGAACAACAGGCACUACUCUGAAAAAAGUGUUUUUUCUCAAAGUUACAAAGUACACUCAUAACAACCUAAUCAUUGCUAAAUUUAUAUUCAAUCAAAUAAGCCACAUGUAGAAAAUAAACCAUACAUUUUUUGUUAACCAAAUUCGACACUCAUUAACCUCCAAACCAAAACUCCUCGCGUGGAGAGUGAAAAAAGCGGCACCUGCUGGAGAAAACAGAUUUUAAACCCAGUUAUUCCUCUCUCUUCAUCGCUUCCUUUCUGGCAGAACUCCUAUCCACGAUGCCCUUCCCAUUAUACCUACAAGCACAGUCAGAGAACUGUGUUAAAGCACAAAAACUAAGUCAAGAAAUGGUGGUGUCAGGAAGCCUGCAGCCUGGGGUUGGCAGAAACCAACGACACGUAAAGAAACCAAGCAGAAGAUCAAGAUGCAGAGGUUGGAGGCGAUCAACUGGCAGUGGGGCUUUGGUGGAGAAGGAGAUGUCAGAGAGGAAGGAGAGCAAGGUCAUACACCAGCCCCUCUCAGCUAGAUAAGUUCUCUGCUAAACACCUCAAACAAAAUGAGAAAUCUACUACAAAGCCAGUUCUAUUCUCUCAUCCCAAGCACACUCCCAAAUGAUCCUGUGCAGAAGAGAAAAACCUUUCACAGAGUACCCCCCCCAAAAAACAAGGCAUCUCCCUGCCAGGGUAGAUGUCAGACUGGAGAGGGUUCCACUCCCAGCCCUUCCUACCAUGUUGACAGCCCCAGACAGAAGGACCACCACCAGCACCAGGAGAUCCAGAGGAGGAGAGCACCAGCAGCCCUUGUUUCCCGGCCCCCGUGGGGAAGACAUCUCCAGGGAGAGUCUCACAGAGCAGCCCAGCUGUUGUGAAAAGAUACCGCAAGGGAUAGACACCCCUGCACCUGGCUGCUAUAAAGGGAGAUGUGGAGACCGUGAAGGAGCUCCUAGGCCAGGGGGCUGACCCCAACCUGAAAGACGCCGCUGGAUGGACCCCACUGGACUGUUAUGGUUCAGUGAGAAACAUGACUGGCGAAGAAGUCACUCAGAGCUGGUCUGAACCGACAUGUCAACGACCCCCCCCCAUCUCAGUUUGGCAUGGAAUAUACAGAAGGACACCAAAUUCACAACGAGCAACAAUGUGUUUGUAGGCGUAAUUAAAAAGUUGAGGAAAGAGGGGCGUGACAAAACUGCCCAUCACACAGCCAUAACUGAAGUUUGGACACGACAUGCAGCUCAUCAAACAAUCCAAGGCUCUGGACACUGAAACAUCUGAGGGUUUGGUGAACAAAGUGUGGUUUGAUGUUAAUUUUGGGCGAAGGGGAAGGAGGGAGAACGUUUUCUUAAAACUGACUGAUUUAAAAUAUGUACAGACACAGUUUUUAUAUGAAUGUAAUGUACGUUUGCUAUCUAGCCUGUGGUUAUGUUUCACAGCAACCAGUCUAGCAACACAACUUUUGUCCGGACUACUUUUUUUGGCGGAAUGUAUUUAUGAAUUUAUUUAUUAAAGCUAAAUGUUC